Molecule: long non-coding RNA, 610 nt
Organism: Amphiprion ocellaris (clown anemonefish)
Lineage: Eukaryota; Metazoa; Chordata; Actinopteri; Pomacentridae
Source: Ensembl
CAGACGGUUCACCUCACAAGACCGGGGUCAACCACGGCUAACAGCAUGAACGACGGCGCUUCAAUGCACAAUGAGGGACGUCUGCAGCGACUGAGAGAGUCUCACCACAUCCUGACAUGAGGAAAAAGACUUUAUUGAAGACUACAAUGAGAAAAACUAUCCAGACAGCAGACGGCUGCAUUCAAGGUGAGCUCUGAACAUUUGAUCUGGAACAGGAAUUCAAUAACGGCAGCAUGAGCUUCAUUUCGGUCUGUAGCUGCUGAAUUCAUGGAUGAAUCGUCUGGCACUAGAGAGCAAGACCAUCAAACAUCCAUGUCAGCUGAUGGAGGCCCAAGAGUCUCACCAAACAAACAACCUACAGAGUGAAGACCUCAAAUCUGAUUGGAUGGCCUCCUAUUCAGCCACAUGUGUGAACAAAUGCCUCUAAGCUGAUUUGUUUUCUAAAAUAAAUCUAGUUUGUGUUCUAAUCAAUGCCUGUGUGUUUGCUUCUUUACACCGCUGUUAACAGUUUAGGCUGUUAGAUUGUUCCAGAUAAGACAAGUACAAGAUUCUUCAGAGCCGUUCUACCACAAGCCUGACAGGAAGAACUCCAACAGCUACUGAAUGUUCC